UACGAAGGGGGCUAGCGUUGCUCGGAUUGACUGGGCGUAAAGGGCGCGUAGGCGGCUUGUACAGUCAGACGUGAAAACCCGAGGCUCAACCUCGGGCCUGCAGCCGAUACGGGCAGACUAGAGUUCGGCAGGGGAGACUGGAAUUCCUGGUGUAGCGGUGAAAUGCGCAGAUAUCAGGAGGAACACCGGUGGCGAAGGCGGGUCUCUGGGCCGAUACUGACGCUGAGGAGCGAAAGCGUGGGGAGCAAACAGG
RNAcentral lists this ribosomal RNA (253 nucleotides) under uncultured bacterium. RNAcentral's name for it is "partial 16S ribosomal RNA". It matches the Rfam family "Bacterial small subunit ribosomal RNA", at positions 524 to 776 of the family's 1533-position model. The record is from RNAcentral.